UUGCAGAUACUCGUGAUAUCACAGUACCAAGUGAAGAAGCGGAACAGAAACCAAGUGGAAGUGGGUCCACAGGCCCUUUCAAAAGGAUUGAAGAUGAAGGAGUGAAGUCUAAACUGGAUUUUUUGAGGGCAAAAUUCAUCGCCAGUAAAAAGAAGAUGAUUGGUACCACCUUCUCCAAAGAGAGUGAGAAACCAGAGUGUUUAGAAAUUCGCUUCUUGGAUCAAAAUGAGAAAAGGAUCCAACGAUUGUUCAAUGGAGUGGAUGCUUCUAUGAUAUUGAGAGUUGAGAAAGAUUCUUCGAUGGACAAUUGGAUGCAGAGUGUGGAAAACAAGUUCAAGACAUCAU
This is a long non-coding RNA of Saccostrea echinata, 345 nucleotides long. RefSeq lists it as uncharacterized. The transcript is spliced from 4 exons. The record is from RefSeq and is a predicted model, not a curated record. NCBI's taxonomy places the organism in Eukaryota, Metazoa, Mollusca, Bivalvia, Ostreida, Ostreidae.